Small nucleolar RNA from Naja naja (Indian cobra), 81 nucleotides. NCBI's taxonomy places the organism in Eukaryota, Metazoa, Chordata, Lepidosauria, Squamata, Elapidae. The record is from Ensembl.
GGUCAGUGAUGAAAUGAUGUUUUAUCUGAAUCUGCAGUUGAUGUGGUUUAACACUCAGCUCUAGAAUUACUCUGAGACCUG